This 253-nucleotide ribosomal RNA is filed under the name uncultured bacterium. RNAcentral's name for it is "partial 16S ribosomal RNA". It matches the Rfam family "Bacterial small subunit ribosomal RNA", at positions 524 to 776 of the family's 1533-position model. The record is from RNAcentral.
UACGAAGGGAGCAAGCGUUAAUCGGAAUUACUGGGCGUAAAGCGCGCGUAGGUGGUUCAGUAAGUUGGAAGUGAAAUCCCCGGGCUCAACCUGGGAACUGCUUUCAAAACUGCUGAGCUAGAGUACGGUAGAGGGUGGUGGAAUUUCCUGUGUAGCGGUGAAAUGCGUAGAUAUAGGAAGGAACACCAGUGGCGAAGGCGACCACCUGGACUGAUACUGACACUGAGGUGCGAAAGCGUGGGGAGCAAACAGG